This is a long non-coding RNA of Fukomys damarensis (Damara mole-rat), 898 nucleotides long. RefSeq lists it as uncharacterized. NCBI's taxonomy places the organism in Eukaryota, Metazoa, Chordata, Mammalia, Rodentia, Bathyergidae. The transcript has 3 exons. The record is from RefSeq and is a predicted model, not a curated record.
ACAUCAGGAAUCUGGCUCUCUACCGUCCUUUCUCUCCUUGGAAGAGUCUGCAGCCCACUCGGACCUGCUUUUAGCUCAAAGAGGUAGCAUCAGCAUCCUCAGAAGAUGCCAACUUUUUGAGUCAUCGACAUCCUUUAAAGAUACAGGGGGAUCACCUUGAGCUCCAGAAAUGCAAAUCAACUGGAAAAACACCAGCUGGCCUUAAUCUUUCAACAUUGCAGUUGAGUCUGCCUCAUGUCAGCAGGCUAGCAGGAAUCCCGUCUGUUGCGACAGGCUUGGUGUCCUCAGAGAUGUUGUGGUUCCUGCUCCUCCAUCUUCCUUGGAGUUUUGACUUCUGUCUUCCCGUUGUCACCUCAACUUUGCAAGGCACCUUUUCUCAAAACCCAGCCAUCACGUGCAGCUUCCAAGCAAGAACAGGAGGAUGAUGCGGGGAAAAAUAGCUCUUUCACCAUGACAGGAUCCUCAUGCGAAUGAGGCAAAGGGUCAGCACACUGGCCGGCUGCCCCUCCAGGCUGCGGAAUCCUGUGGUCAACACCGAGUGCCAUCCGGCCAGGGCUGGGGACCCAGGCAGCUCCGGCAGACAAACAAGAACAGAUGACUACGAAGACCGGAUAGAGCGCAGAGGAAAGGCAGAGACGUCGGAGAACCUCGGAGAGCCGUUUGGGGUAUUUGGUAAAGCAUCCUGGCUUAGUGCAGGUUUGUUCAAAACAGCAGUGUUUUAGGACUCUAAAGUGAUGCAUUAUGACAACUUUUCAUCUUCCAUUCUAGGCUGUUAACUGAAGUAUGUAUGAAGAUAACAACAAUUACUUUAAAGGACUUUGAAGAAAUGCAUCGAUUUUUAAAAAGUGUAAUGUAAGAGAAAACCAAGGAGCUAAAGGUGUAGGGAAGGUGUGAUACG